GUGGGCUCUAGGCAAGCACAAGAUGCAGGUUUUCCUCUUCCCCCCUUCGGUGCCCAAGGGCCUGNCUGGGUGCUGUUGGGGCACAAAGGCAGUUCUGAGAGGGGACUCAGGAAGGGCCAAGCUGCACCCUGUGGGCGNCUGCUCUGGCACCCACUGUGGCAGCGGUAGCAGCAGGUAGGCGGACACUGUNCCUGGCGGAGCAGAAAGCUGCCCCCUUGCUCCAUGGCCCCAGGGAAGGCGGCGGGUGCUCAAAAGCCUCCGACAGGCCCUGCUGUUAUGUGAGGAUCAAGGAGCCAGAGGACAGAAAGAUCCCUGCAAAGGAGCCGUUUUCAGGUGACUGGACACAGGGUUCGGGGGACCCGGCUUGUGCAGGCGCCAUCUGCAUUGCCCNCAGAGCUCCCUGAUGGAAUCCUGGAUCAAUCUGCCUGCAGCAUCUGGGGGCCCAGGAAGCAAAGGGAGACCCUUGGGUGGCCACUGCCCGGUUGCUGAACUUGGUGUGUUUGGGGGCUAUUGUGCUCUCGGCCUCCGCCUGCCUGCUCCGAAGGCCUAUUCUUGCCUUCUCUGCGGGGGCUACAGCCCACCCCCCACGGCCCUGUGCCCAUCACUCCCCCUGCCUCCGAGGAGCUCACCGUUCCCGAGUCAGAUGGAAAAACCCAGGCGGCAGAUUCAGCCCAGAGUGGCCACAGCCAGAGCCCCCCCGCCCAGUCCCUCCCUGGGACAUUUGCUAAUGUUUAACGUCCGUCCGGCAUGGGCAACACCCUGCUGCUUCCCCUCCAGGCUCCCACAAGGGCGAGUGGAGGAGCGAGGCUUCUGCCGACCGCCGUGAGCACGGCCCAGGCAUGCGCUGCUGGCUGCUGUGGGGGCUGCCUGCCUCCUGGGCCCUGGUGGCCUUGGCCGGGACAGCAGAGCCUGGAGAUGCUUCCCCGGAGGCCGAGGACACCCUCAGCAAAGGAGACUUUGGCGUUCUCCGGCUAUCCAGGACAGCCCACCGACAGAAAAACAAAUCGCUGGUUUUCCACACUGGCAGCCUUUCGGCUCUGAGCAGAGGCCUGAUGAGGAACCCGAGCGCCUGGGAAGGGGAGAGAGGAGAAAUCGCCCGUCCCCAGAGAGGCGCCGGCNCCACCAGGGACCCCUGCCGGGGAUGCUGCGGGACGCUCGGGGCUCCCAACCGCACCGGAAGCAUCCAGGGUGGUUCCCUGUCUGGGCUAAACGGGAGCAGCCGCCAGAAACCCGGCGCCGCACGGGACCGUUGCCGAGGCUGCUGCAGGAGAAAUGGGACCACGCUUGCCAACGCGCCGGGACAAAAGGAGGGCGGCGGCGGAGGUAGCGAAGGGCGGGCGCCCCGGGCUUGGAGUGCGCGCAGGGAAACUGCUGGCCUCUCUGAGCCCCGGCUGAGGGCGGGGGCCACGGGGACCCCCCUUCCCCCCUGAGCUGACAUGCGCAUUUUCCCCCUUCACCAUAAUGGGCAAACGCAGGGCGACGCGACCCAGGGGUCUGGCCUGCCUGUCUGCUGCUUUUCUGCCCUAAAAGGGGCCACGGUGCCCAGGCUGGCCUCGAUUCCCUUAGGCGUUCCUUCGCGGCACCCCUGGCAGCAGCACCAGCCCUGCGCUUUCGUGGCCUGAGGCAGCGAGUCGCCCAGGGAACUNGCUGCUCGCGGUUCGGCGGCAAGUGGUGCUGGGGCGAAGGGCUCCUUCCGCCUGGGCACCCGCCACGGGCUGCCAGUCCUCCACACCCACCGUNCCCCGCUUGCCAGACACCGUUUCUGCACACGCCGCCCUCCCUGCCGUUCACGGCCAGCCCUGCGUGGGUCUCUUUGCGCUUCGUUCUGUGGCGCCAAAUUUCUGUUCUGGGCACGGGCCUUGAGGGGCAUCCGCCAGCCAGCAGCCUUCCAGAGAUGGCGCAGCCAUUGCGCACGGCCGGGCACGCUCUCCAAACGCCUGGCAUCNGGGGGAGUGACGGCUUGGCGCUGAAGGGGCAGGCGGCAUCGCUAUGUCUUUUGGCCCAGGGCAGUUCCAGCCAGCGGCUGAGGAGGAGACCCACCCUGGACCACAGGGUCCCAAGCNUCAGGCCUCCCUGGAGGGGAGACGGUGGACCUGCCCCCUUCGCCAGAAGGGCCGUCUAGCCCCGGCGCCCCCGCAGAGGCGGGCAGGCAGCGGGAGCAAGGGAGUAUGUACGGCGGAGAAGAAAGACGGCCCCCGGGCACCUGGAUGCUGAGCGGAAAGCGCCAAGGGCGAANCCCGAGCACUAGGAUGCUGGUGGCCCGUCGACGCCCCUUGCCAACAGCGCUGGAUUUCUUUUCUGCGGAAGGGGCAGAGGCAGAACUCGGAGCAGAGCUAGCAGCGUCCCAGGAAGGUGGAUGGGGGAGCCUGGCGGGCAGGGAGAAGAGCUCGGCCCAACGCUUCCAUCGCUCCCCCGGGGGCGGGGGGGGACAGUCUGGGUGGAGUCCGAGGGGAACAGCCCAUCGCAGUCUCACCCCCCCGCCCCCGCACAAGAAGGCCAGAAAUAUACGCAGUCGCUUAGGAACGCCNCAAAGCAAUAAAAAACGUCUAGCAGCAU
RNAcentral lists this long non-coding RNA (2556 nucleotides) under Salvator merianae (Argentine black and white tegu). RNAcentral describes it as "lncRNA (ENSSMRG00000000074.1)". The record is from RNAcentral. Lineage: Eukaryota; Metazoa; Chordata; Lepidosauria; Squamata; Teiidae.